RNAcentral lists this ribosomal RNA (21 nucleotides) under Tulasnella sp. Sp1a. RNAcentral describes it as "Epulorhiza sp. Sp1a partial 25S ribosomal RNA". The record is from RNAcentral. Lineage: Eukaryota; Fungi; Basidiomycota; Agaricomycetes; Cantharellales; Tulasnellaceae.
GCAUAUCAAUAAGCGGAGGCA